CCAGCGGUGGUGGUGGAUCCGUUGCCGGGAAGAAGCUUGUGGUUCUUAGAAACCCUACUGGAAGAGACAUCGGGAGUUCCUAUGAACUUGGACCGGAACUUGGAAGAGGUGAGUUCGGUAUAACGUAUCUAUGCACGGAGAGAUCCACUGGGGAUGCGUAUGCAUGCAAAUCAAUUUCGAAGAAGAAACUGAGAACUUCUGUGGAUGUUGAAGAUGUGAAGAGGGAAGUUGAGAUCAUGAGACAUUUACCUGUUCAUCCAAAUAUUGUCACUCUUAAGGAUACGUUUGAGGAUCACAAUGAUGUUCAUCUUACAAUGGAACUUUGUGAAGGCGGCGAGCUUUUCGAUCGGAUCGUUGCUAGAGGACACUACACUGAGAGAGCGGCGGCGAUUGUCAUCAAGACCAUCG
RNAcentral lists this long non-coding RNA (408 nucleotides) under Zostera marina. RNAcentral describes it as "long non-coding RNA (ZMAR_LNC003499)". The record is from RNAcentral. Lineage: Eukaryota; Viridiplantae; Streptophyta; Magnoliopsida; Alismatales; Zosteraceae.